GACACCUUGCUGUAGAAAUGGAAGAGGCAUAAAGGCUUACAGAGAACAAUUAUAUAACAAGAUCAAAUUAUUGAAAGGGGUCAUCGGGAAGAGCGGGCGGUAGUAGGAGGGCUGUGCGUCCUGUCUCGGGAAGAGUCUCCAAGCCGGCUGGGACAGCUCUUCCUCUUUGAAAUGUUUUUGUUUAGGAUUUGCCGACCCACGUGAGAACCUUAGCUUGACGAGGGCAAGGACCAUGCCUUGCUCACUCCUGGAUCCCUGGUUCCUGCAGCAGUGCCUGACACAUGGCGGAAGGCCCAUGGGUACAAGAACUGACGAAUGAAUGAGCACAUGACCCUGGGGUGUGCGAGGAACUGUGGGAAGAUCGCCCUGUCUGGGAAGAAGUGUGUGUCCUUGAGGAGUGGGGGACUCUCCAACAGACCAGCAGAUGGGGCACCUAAGUAGGCCUGCAUGGGAUUCAAACCACGGGGCAGGUGAACCUAGCUGAACAGGGUAUAGGCACCACUGACAACUGCCAAGGACGACUCUGUAUAGAGUGCAACAUGGGACUUGAAUCUGAAAUUAAACUAAAGCACAAACUAAACAAAAUUGUUCUGCACUGUGCUUGGUCAGCCAACAGCUAUGCUUAAAAAAGAAAAAAAGAUCUGUUCAGUUCUUGUUAAGAACACAGUAAAAUGUUAAUGGGAUCACAAGACUUUUAUGACUACCUUCAACGAUCACCUUCACCUUUAAGCAGAUAGGUUCAUCGCCUCAUAUUGAACCAGUUAUCUACUAAAAAGUAUCUUGCUAUUGUCGUUCACCCAUAGCUGUUGUUCUAUAGAUCUUUUCUGUCUCAUACUCGCACCAUUGAUUAUUGGACCUAAAUGCAGUGCCUCACAUUCGUGGUACAUCCUAUCUUAUUGAUUUUAGACUAUCUUUCACCUUAUGGAAUUCAUUUUAAACCUUGAUCCUAUCAUCAAUCAGUAUUCCUCUUAGCUGGGUGUAAUUCAUAUGUGUGAUCUGCAAUCCCCCAAGGUCUGGGAUGCCUGGAGGUAAUUUCAAGAGCUCUAAGGGGCGGGGGGUGUCUACCAGAGGACACACCACCAGCC
This is a long non-coding RNA of Mustela erminea (ermine), 1085 nucleotides long. RefSeq lists it as uncharacterized. NCBI's taxonomy places the organism in Eukaryota, Metazoa, Chordata, Mammalia, Carnivora, Mustelidae. The record is from RefSeq and is a predicted model, not a curated record. The transcript is spliced from 3 exons.